AGAGUUUGAUCCUGGCUCAGGAUGAACGCUGGCGGCGUGCCUAAUACAUGCAAGUCGAGCGAACGGACGAGAAGCUUGCUUCUCUGAUGUUAGCGGCGGACGGGUGAGUAACACGUGGAUAACCUACCUAUAAGACUGGGAUAACUUCGGGAAACCGGAGCUAAUACCGGAUAAUAUUUUGAACCGCAUGGUUCAAAAGUGAAAGACGGUCUUGCUGUCACUUAUAGAUGGAUCCGCGCUGCAUUAGCUAGUUGGUAAGGUAACGGCUUACCAAGGCAACGAUGCAUAGCCGACCUGAGAGGGUGAUCGGCCACACUGGAACUGAGACACGGUCCAGACUCCUACGGGAGGCAGCAGUAGGGAAUCUUCCGCAAUGGGCGAAAGCCUGACGGAGCAACGCCGCGUGAGUGAUGAAGGUCUUCGGAUCGUAAAACUCUGUUAUUAGGGAAGAACAUAUGUGUAAGUAACUGUGCACAUCUUGACGGUACCUAAUCAGAAAGCCACGGCUAACUACGUGCCAGCAGCCGCGGUAAUACGUAGGUGGCAAGCGUUAUCCGGAAUUAUUGGGCGUAAAGCGCGCGUAGGCGGUUUUUUAAGUCUGAUGUGAAAGCCCACGGCUCAACCGUGGAGGGUCAUUGGAAACUGGAAAACUUGAGUGCAGAAGAGGAAAGUGGAAUUCCAUGUGUAGCGGUGAAAUGCGCAGAGAUAUGGAGGAACACCAGUGGCGAAGGCGACUUUCUGGUCUGUAACUGACGCUGAUGUGCGAAAGCGUGGGGAUCAAACAGGAUUAGAUACCCUGGUAGUCCACGCCGUAAACGAUGAGUGCUAAGUGUUAGGGGGUUUCCGCCCCUUAGUGCUGCAGCUAACGCAUUAAGCACUCCGCCUGGGGAGUACGACCGCAAGGUUGAAACUCAAAGGAAUUGACGGGGACCCGCACAAGCGGUGGAGCAUGUGGUUUAAUUCGAAGCAACGCGAAGAACCUUACCAAAUCUUGACAUCCUUUGACAACUCUAGAGAUAGAGCCUUCCCCUUCGGGGGACAAAGUGACAGGUGGUGCAUGGUUGUCGUCAGCUCGUGUCGUGAGAGGNNNNNGUGACUGCCGGUGACAAACCGGAGGAAGGUGGGGAUGACGUCAAAUCAUCAUGCCCCUUAUGAUUUGGGCUACACACGUGCUACAAUGGACAAUACAAAGGGCAGCGAAACCGCGAGGUCAAGCAAAUCCCAUAAAGUUGUUCUCAGUUCGGAUUGUAGUCUGCAACUCGACUACAUGAAGCUGGAAUCGCUAGUAAUCGUAGAUCAGCAUGCUACGGUGAAUACGUUCCCGGGUCUUGUACACACCGCCCGUCACACCACGAGAGUUUGUAACACCCGAAGCCGGUGGAGUAACCUUUUAGGAGCUAGCCGUCGAAGGUGGGACAAAUGAUUGGGGUGAAGUCGUAACAAGGUAGCCGUAUCGGAAGGUGCGGCUG
Molecule: ribosomal RNA, 1469 nt
Filed under: Staphylococcus aureus
Lineage: Bacteria; Bacillati; Bacillota; Bacilli; Caryophanales; Staphylococcaceae
Description: bacterial SSU rRNA
Rfam family: Bacterial small subunit ribosomal RNA
Source: RNAcentral